UACGGAAGGCAGCAGGGGGAAUAUUGCACAAUGGGCGAAAGCCUGAUGCAGCUAUGCCGCGUGUAUGAAGAAGGCCUUAGGGUUGUAAAGUACUUUCAUCGGGGAGGAAAAACAAAACUAAUAAUUUUAUUUCUUGACGUUACCCGAAAAAGAAGCACCGGCUAACUCCGUGCCAGCAGCCGCGGUAAUACGGAGGGUGCUAGCGUUAAUCAGAAUUACUGGGCGUAAAGAGCACGUAGGUGGUUUUUUUAAGUCAGAUGUGAAAUCCCUGGGCUUAACCUAGGAACUGCAUUUUGAAACUGAAAUACUAGAGUAUCGUAGAGGGAGGUAGAAUUCUAGGUGUAGCGGUGAAAUGCGUAGAUAUCUGGAGGAAUACCUGUGGCGAAAGCGGCCUCCUAAACGAAUACUGACACUGAGGGUGCGAAAGCGUGGGGAGCAAAACGAGGGAUUAGAUACCC
This 458-nucleotide ribosomal RNA is filed under the name uncultured bacterium. RNAcentral's name for it is "bacterial SSU rRNA". It matches the Rfam family "Bacterial small subunit ribosomal RNA", at positions 340 to 787 of the family's 1533-position model. The record is from RNAcentral.